UUUUGUUUGCUUGAAGUUAAUUAUUUGGUGAAAAAGCUAAAAUUUCCUUAGAGGACGAUAAGACCCUAUAGAUCUUCAUAAAACUACAUUUGUUUCUUAGGUGUUAUCAAACUAAUGAAUCUUUUAUUCCGUUGGGGCGACGUUGAGGGUUGAUUUAUCUCUCAAAAUAUUAUUACAUUUAUAAAUGAUUUUUGAUCCUUUAAUGAAUUAAGAUAAAGUUACCUUAGGGAUAACAGCGUAAUUUUUCUUGAGAGUUCUUAUCG
RNAcentral lists this ribosomal RNA (263 nucleotides) under Branchinella sp. n. 'compacta like'. RNAcentral's name for it is "partial 16S ribosomal RNA". The record is from RNAcentral. Lineage: Eukaryota; Metazoa; Arthropoda; Branchiopoda; Anostraca; Thamnocephalidae.